GCGGUCGUGGCGGAAUGGUAGACGCGCCAGCUUGAGGUGCUGGUGGGGGAAACCCCGUGGAAGUUCGACUCUUCUCGACCGCACCA
This 86-nucleotide transfer RNA is filed under the name Craurococcus roseus. RNAcentral's name for it is "tRNA-Leu". It matches the Rfam family "tRNA". From Rfam's summary of the family: Transfer RNA (tRNA) molecules are approximately 80 nucleotides in length. Their secondary structure includes four short double-helical elements and three loops (D, anti-codon, and T loops). Further hydrogen bonds mediate the characteristic L-shaped molecular structure. tRNAs have two regions of fundamental functional importance: the anti-codon, which is responsible for specific mRNA codon recognition, and the 3' end, to which the tRNAs corresponding amino acid is attached (by aminoacyl-tRNA synthetases). tRNAs cope with the degeneracy of the genetic code in two manners: having more than one tRNA (with a specific anti-codon) for a particular amino acid; and 'wobble' base-pairing, i.e. permitting non-standard base-pairing at the 3rd anti-codon position. The record is from RNAcentral. Lineage: Bacteria; Pseudomonadati; Pseudomonadota; Alphaproteobacteria; Acetobacterales; Acetobacteraceae. RNAcentral also lists the same sequence under 13 other names.